RNAcentral lists this ribosomal RNA (253 nucleotides) under uncultured bacterium. RNAcentral's name for it is "partial 16S ribosomal RNA". It matches the Rfam family "Bacterial small subunit ribosomal RNA", at positions 524 to 776 of the family's 1533-position model. The record is from RNAcentral.
CACGUAGGGUGCGAGCGUUGUCCGGAAUUAUUGGGCGUAAAGCGCGCGUAGGCGGCUUUGCAAGUCGGGUGUGAAAUCCCCAGGCUUAACCUGGGAACUGCAUUCGAGACUGCAUUGCUAGAGUAUGGGAGAGGGAAGUGGAAUUUCCGGUGUAGCGGUGAAAUGCGUAGAUAUCGGAAGGAAUACCAGUGGCGAAGGCGGCGACCUGGGCCAAUACUGACGCUGAGGUGCGAAAGCGUGGGGAGCAAACAGG